RNAcentral lists this ribosomal RNA (253 nucleotides) under uncultured bacterium. RNAcentral's name for it is "partial 16S ribosomal RNA". It matches the Rfam family "Bacterial small subunit ribosomal RNA", at positions 524 to 776 of the family's 1533-position model. The record is from RNAcentral.
UACGGAGGGAGCUAGCGUUGUUCGGAAUUACUGGGCGUAAAGCGCACGUAGGCGGCUUUGUAAGUUAGAGGUGAAAGCCCGGAGCUCAACUCCGGAAUUGCCUUUAAGACUGCAUCGCUUGAAUCCAGGAGAGGUGAGUGGAAUUCCGAGUGUAGAGGUGAAAUUCGUAGAUAUUCGGAGGAACACCAGCGGCGAAGGCGGCGCUCUGGGCCGGAACUGACGCUGAGGAGCGAAAGCGUGGGUAGCAAACAGG